Long non-coding RNA from Ziziphus jujuba (common jujube), 987 nucleotides. RefSeq lists it as uncharacterized. The record is from RefSeq and is a predicted model, not a curated record. Lineage: Eukaryota; Viridiplantae; Streptophyta; Magnoliopsida; Rosales; Rhamnaceae. The transcript has 2 exons.
UCAAAUUUAUGAGCUCUAAUGUAUAGGUGUGAAUGACUUAUCAACUAAAUUAACUUUACUUGACGCAUAAUUUUAUAGUUUAUGUAGCUUAUAAAAGUGGUUUCUUUAGGAUUAAGAUAACACGUUAUUAUUUGCAAGAUCUAAGUUAUGAAUUCAAUCCAUAAUUAAAUAUUAGAAAUACAAAUUUCAAUAAAGAGUGGUCUAAUAAAUAUGGUAUCCAAUAUGAAUCAUACAUGAGUCAUGAUAGCAUCAUAUUAUAUUCUCUUUAACAAAUAUUCUACACAUAUCCACACUCAAAUAUGCUAAGAUUUGGUUAAAAAUAUACAAGUCCGGUAAAGAUGUUGUAAGCAAAUUAAGCAUCUGAUGCUAUCUAGAACACCGAACUCUCCAACUGGUGUCCAUAGGCAGUUAUUCCCAUUAUCCUCAAAUACCACCAUUCCCUUACUCUUGUAACUUUGUGAUAUAUUCCAAUUCCUCUCUCUCAGCACUCACCGUCUGAUGCUAUAAAAAUGACAAUGCUUGUUGUAAUUGAGGCAACCAGCCGCUUUCAUAAGCCUUUAACUUUCUCCUCUUGUCUUCAUUUGUGAAAGAGGCUUUCUUUUGUCUGAAAACUAUGGCUUCCUUGAAGGCUGAAAAGCCAGUUGGCACUCAGCUGUUUGGGCAGCCCAAGAAGGAGCCUGCCAAGGCUGAAUCUACAGCCAAAACUCCGGCAUCCAAGCCGGCCUCCAAGAAGCAAGCCGCCCAAAAACCCCAGGAACCUAAGAAGAAGGGAAAAGGUGGCAAAGCAGCAGCAAAGCACUAACCAAAAUACUAGCAUGAUGCAACAAAUAUGAACUAGGAAACUACAUGAAUAUCUCUAAUUCCGUAGCUGUCUUUCUAAUUAAUUAUUAAUAUGUUUGCAAACUUUUCUUGUUGAUCAAUGUGAUGAGGGAGACUUUGGACUCUGUAUUUCAUCAUAAUGAAAUAAAAUUUUAAGUGUUUUGGCAA